UAUGAAUUUUUUCAAAGACCUUUCUUGUUUGGAUCUUUGAAAAAAUUCAAGAAAGGUUUUUGAUUAAUUGGGGUGAUUUUUAAAUUUUAAAAAACUUUAGAAGUGUAUUAUUAGAUCCAAUAUUAUUGAUGGUUUAAAAAAAAUACUCUAGGGAUAACAGCGUUAUUACUUUGGAUAGUUCAUAUAGAUAAAGUAGAUUGCGACCUCGAUGUUGGAUUAGGAUACCUUUAUUAAUGAAGAAGUUAUAAAAGGAGGUUUGCUCAACCUUCAAAUUCCUACAUGAUCUG
This 287-nucleotide ribosomal RNA is filed under the name Ornithodoros sp. ALB-2015. RNAcentral describes it as "partial 16S ribosomal RNA". The stretch from base 153 to 287 matches the Rfam family "Bacterial large subunit ribosomal RNA", at positions 2473 to 2607 of the family's 2925-position model. The record is from RNAcentral. Lineage: Eukaryota; Metazoa; Arthropoda; Arachnida; Ixodida; Argasidae.